This 279-nucleotide ribosomal RNA is filed under the name uncultured bacterium. Its description in RNAcentral is "partial 16S ribosomal RNA". It matches the Rfam family "Bacterial small subunit ribosomal RNA", at positions 506 to 784 of the family's 1533-position model. The record is from RNAcentral.
UGCCAGCAGCCGCGGUAAUACGGAGGGUGCGAGCGUUAAUCGGAAUCACUGGGCUUAAAGGGUGCGUAGGCGGAUUUUCAAGUGCGUUGUGAAAGCCCACGGCUCAACCGUGGAAUUGCUUCGCAUACUGUUAAUCUUGAGUUCGGUAGGGGCUGUCGGAACGAUAGGUGGAGCGGUGAAAUGCGUAGAUAUCUAUCGGAACGCCCAAGGCGAAGGCGGACAGCUGGGCCGACACUGACGCUGAGGCACGACAGCGUGGGGAUCAAACAGGAUUAGAUC